Molecule: long non-coding RNA, 1586 nt
Organism: Callithrix jacchus (white-tufted-ear marmoset)
Lineage: Eukaryota; Metazoa; Chordata; Mammalia; Primates; Cebidae
Source: Ensembl
GAGACAAUCAAUAAAUACUUACUGGAUUAUCAGUGACUCCUUUCAUGCAAUGAUUUUACGACUGUUUUCUGAUGGCUCUAAACAUGAAUGCAAGUGUUCGAUAUCAAGUGUUUAGAAGCAGCAUCUGGGACAGAGUAAAGCCUCAACACAUAUUUGCAGAUUACAGAAAAAUUACAUGUAAAAAAAGAUGGGUUUUUUCAAAAAGCAUGGUCUCAUUCCAUUGUCCAGGCUGGAGUGCAGUUGCACAGUCUUGGCUCACUACAACCUCUGCCCCCCAGGUUGAAGGGAUCCUCCUACUUCAGCCUCCUGCGUAGCUGGGAUCACAGGUGUGCGCCACCAUGCUCAGCUGAAUAUUUUUGGAUUUUUACUAGACAUGGUAUCUCAACCUGUUGCCCAGGCUAGUCUCGAACUCCCAAGCACAAGCCAUCCACCCACCUCUGCCCCCACCCCAGAGUGCAGGGAUUACAGAUGUGAGCCACUGUGUUCGUUUCUUUGCUUCUUUAUCAGUAAAAUGGACAUAAUCAUCAUAUCUGCCUUGUAGGGUUGUUGUAAGGCUUAAACAAGACAAUGAACGUAAAGUUUUAGCAUCUGGCACAUGGUGAAUACUCAAAAAAAGUUAAUUUUUCUUCUUUUUCUCCUCCUUUUCAUUAUUAUUAGCCAAACUGGUAAUGACAUUGCAAGCAAUUUUAUCAUUAGAUUUAUCAUAUUGUGUUACACUGUGUUUUUAAUCACAUUUUCAACAAGUUGGAAGCUUUUUCGAACCAUCUCUUUUAUAUACGUAGAAACUAAGAUGGAAAGAAUGUAAGAAAUUGAUUCCUAUUAUAGAAGAAUAAAACCUUUUCUGUAUGUAAAACAUAAAAUUCUAGAAUUUCAUGCUCUUUUCUUUGACUAAUCAUAAUUGUUUUAUAAUUUAUAUCCUAUGUAAUGGUAAAAGUUAUCCUUAAAUGAUACAAGAUGUAGUUUAAUUAAAAAAUGAGAGGAAAGAACUGUCCUUUUAUUAAAAAAAAUAACAUUUCAACACUUACAUUAUAUAUUCCAACUUUCAGUUCAGGCAUUAUUUGGAGACGGGGGAGUACAGGGAAAGUUUUAGUUGGCUUUGCGUUGGUUGCCAGGAAACAUACAAAGGGAUCAGAACAGAGGAAACAAACUCCACAUUUCUGAGAAGGUGGCCUCAGAGUCAGGUACUUCACUGGUAGGGAAACUGCAGCUUUGUCAUCUAACUCUUCCAGAUAAGAAAGUGGAGUUGAAAACUACAACGUGUUAAUGGAAGCAAAGUAAGCCAAAGAGAUUUUUGGGAAGGUGCUUUUCUAAUGCAUUUAAAAUGAAGAGUGGAAGUUGUUUUCUGUGUCCGUUACUAUCAAUGUGGGGAAGCUUUAACCUGGCUUGAUUAAAAAUGUGUAAACAGAGUCUAAGGAAGGGGUAAAAAUGCCAUUUUAAAACCACUCAACUGUAAAUUUUGAAAAUAAACUCUGGAAUCAAAUAAGCGAGGUGGUUCAGGGCUUUCAUUUCCUGCCUCGGGUUGAACAUUUUGCCUCCUAAUUGUAUGCCUUGGAAGGUUUGUACUUGGAUUUUGGAAUUCUAUUGCU